GCGUGGUUACGUUAGGAGGCACGUGCAUUCUGCAGGCCAGAACAGAUCGCGUUUCACCUUGGAUUAGCUAGUUUACUGGGUUAUGGAUUAUUUUCGGAUUUUUGUUUACAUUCCAUCAAGAGCAUCAUAAGCCGCUGUUCUUCCAAGGCAACCAAAUCGGCUGCAGCUGAGAGAUGGUAGAGCUCUCUUGUGUCGCCAAUAUCAAGAGUGCUGAGGCUGCCAGUUCCUCUCGUCUACUGAGGUGUGAUGGUGUGAAAGAUGAACGAAAGUCUUACGGGUUUGGAACGAUG
Ctenopharyngodon idella (grass carp) is the source of this 290-nucleotide long non-coding RNA. RefSeq lists it as uncharacterized. Lineage: Eukaryota; Metazoa; Chordata; Actinopteri; Cypriniformes; Xenocyprididae. The transcript has 4 exons. The record is from RefSeq and is a predicted model, not a curated record.